This 253-nucleotide ribosomal RNA is filed under the name uncultured bacterium. RNAcentral describes it as "partial 16S ribosomal RNA". It matches the Rfam family "Bacterial small subunit ribosomal RNA", at positions 524 to 776 of the family's 1533-position model. The record is from RNAcentral.
UACGCAGGGGGCUAGCGUUGUUCGGAAUUACUGGGCGUAAAGCGCGCGCAGGCGGUCCUUCAAGUCAGAGGUGAAAGCCCAGAGCUCAACUCUGGAAUGGCCUUUGAGACUAGAGGACUUGGGUACGGGAGAGGUGAGUGGAAUUCCGAGUGUAGAGGUGAAAUUCGUAGAUAUUGGGAAGAACACCGGUGGCGAAGGCGGCUCACGGGCUCGUAACUGACGCUCAGGCGCGACAGCGUGGGGAUCAAACAGG